ACUCCUACGGGAGGCAGCAGUGGGGAAUUUUGGACAAUGGGCGCAAGCCUGAUCCAGCCAUUCCGCGUGAGUGAAGAAGGCCUUCGGGUUGUAAAGCUCUUUCGCAAGGGAAGAAAACUUACAUUCUAAUAAAGUGUGAGGCUGACGGUACCUUGAUAAGAAGCACCGGCUAACUACGUGCCAGCAGCCGCGGUAAUACGUAGGGUGCGAGCGUUAAUCGGAAUUACUGGGCGUAAAGCGUGCGCAGGCGGUUUGGCAAGUCAGAUGUGAAAUCCCCGAGCUCAACUUGGGAACUGCGUUUGAAACUGCCAGACUAGAAUAUGUCAGAGGGGGGUAGAAUUCCACGUGUAGCAGUGAAAUGCGUAGAGAUGUGGAGGAAUACCAAUGGCGAAGGCAGCCCCCUGGGAUAAUAUUGACGCUCAUGCACGAAAGCGUGGGGAGCAAACAGGAUUAGAUACCCUGGUAGUCCACGCCCUAAACGAUGUCUACUAGUUGUUGGUGGAGUAAAAUCCAUGAGUAACGCAGCUAACGCGUGAAGUAGACCGCCUGGGGAGUACGGUCGCAAGAUUAAAACUUAAAGGAAUUGACGG
RNAcentral lists this ribosomal RNA (590 nucleotides) under uncultured bacterium. Its description in RNAcentral is "bacterial SSU rRNA". It matches the Rfam family "Bacterial small subunit ribosomal RNA", at positions 335 to 916 of the family's 1533-position model. The record is from RNAcentral.